RNAcentral lists this ribosomal RNA (32 nucleotides) under Platanus gentryi. Lineage: Eukaryota; Viridiplantae; Streptophyta; Magnoliopsida; Proteales; Platanaceae. The record is from RNAcentral.
GGGUGCGAUCAUACCAGCACUAAUGCGCCGGA